RNAcentral lists this ribosomal RNA (465 nucleotides) under uncultured bacterium. Its description in RNAcentral is "partial 16S ribosomal RNA". It matches the Rfam family "Bacterial small subunit ribosomal RNA", at positions 338 to 795 of the family's 1533-position model. The record is from RNAcentral.
CCUACGGGAGGCAGCAGUAGGGAAUCUUCCACAAUGGGCGAAAGCCUGAUGGAGCAACGCCGCGUGGGUGAAGAAGGUCUUCGGAUCGUAAAACCCUGUUGUUAGAGAAGAAAGUGCGUGAGAGUAACUGUUCACGUUUCGACGGUAUCUAACCAGAAAGCCACGGCUAACUACGUGCCAGCAGCCGCGGUAAUACGUAGGUGGCAAGCGUUAUCCGGAUUUAUUGGGCGUAAAGGGAACGCAGGCGGUCUUUUAAGUCUGAUGUGAAAGCCUUCGGCUUAACCGGAGUAGUGCAUUGGAAACUGGGGGACUAGAGUGCAGAAGAGGAGAGUGGAACUCCAUGUGUAGCGGUGAAAUGCGUAGAUAUAUGGAAGAACACCAGUGGCGAAAGCGGCUCUCUGGUCUGUAACUGACGCUGAGGUUCGAAAGCGUGGGUAGCAAACAGGAUUAGAUACCCCAGUAGUC